Molecule: long non-coding RNA, 1535 nt
Organism: Bos taurus (domestic cattle)
Lineage: Eukaryota; Metazoa; Chordata; Mammalia; Artiodactyla; Bovidae
Source: Ensembl
UGGGAAUAUAAAUUGGUGCGGCCACUGUGGAGCACAGUAUGGAAGUUCCUUAACAAACUGAAUAUAGAGUUUCCGUAUGAUCCAGCUAUCUCACUCCUGGGCAUACAUAUCUGGAGGAAAUUCCCAUUUAAAAAGAUACAGGCACCUCAAUGUCGAUGCUGCCGCUACUGCUAAGUCGCUUCAGUCAUGUCCAACUCUGUGCGACCCCAUAGAUGGCAGCCCACUAGGCUCCUCUGUCCCUGGGAUUCUCCAGGCAAGAAUACUGGAGUGGGUUGCCAUUUCCUUCUCCAAUACAUAGAAGUGCAAAGUGAAAGUGAAGUCGCUAAGUCGUGCCCGACUCUUAGGGACCCCAUGGGCUGGAGCCUACCAGGCUCCUCCGUCCAUUGGAUUUUCCAGGCAAGAGUACUGGCUGCUACUGCUGCUAAGUCACUUCAGUCGUGUCUGACUCUGUGUGACCCCAUAGAUGGCAGCCCACCAGGCUUCCCCAUCCCUGGGAUUCUCCAGGGACAGGGGAGCCUGGUGGGCUGCUGUCUAUGGGGUCCCACAGAGUCGGACAUGACUGAAGUGACUUAGCAGCAGCAUCCUGGAGUGGGUUGCCCUUUCCUCCUCCAGGGGAUCUUCCUGACCCAGGAAUCGAACCUGCCUCUCCAGCUUGGCAGGUGGAUUCUCUACCACGGAGCCACCAGGGAAGUCCUCUACAGAGAUAGAUCUCUAAACCAGAAGGUUCCUCUCCUCUCUCCUCUCGUACAAUGUGUUUGUGGAGGACCCAGACCCUUGGUCUUUUGCAUCUUCUCAUGAUCUGUGUCCUGUGGCUUCCCUGGGGGUGGGGGACCCCACAUUCUCAGACUGCUAUGUAGGGCAUUGCACCCCACAAGCUCUCCCCCAGUGGCAGCUGAUUUGCCAAAGAAAUACCACUGCAAGGUAGGGGCUGGCACAGAGCUGUGUGUUCAGUCAGAACAUACGGAGCAUGUGGUUCGGUCAUGUUCGACAGCUUUGCAACCUGUGGACUAUAGCCCACCAGACUCCUUUGUUCAUGGAAUUCUCUAGGCAAGAAUGCUGAAGUGGGUUGCCAUACUCUUUUCCAGGGGAUCUUCCCCACCCAGGGAUUGAACCCCAGUCUCCUGCACUGGCAGGCAGAUUCUUUACUAUCUGAGCCACCAGGGAAGCCUGCGACAGAGCCUGGGUGCCAGGUAAACAGCAAGGACUAGGCCUUAUCUACAGACUGUUACGGGAGUCUCAUCAGAGUCCCCAGAAAACAAGAUCUUUCCCAGGCCCUCUUAUCUUUCCACUUUGCACAGAUUUCCCAGGGCCAUCCACCCCUUCCGUUUCUGCUGCCAGAGCUGUACCCUGUCCUGUACAGAGGUGGGAGCAGGAAACCUGGGUCUCCAUCCUCAGGUAAGUGGUUCCCACCUUCCCCCUCCCACUAGGUGGACCCCAAACUCCCACCCUGGCUCGUAGGGCUUUGCAGGGCAGGACAAGCUCCCCUCUUUCAGCUCAGAGGCUCACUCUGCAUCUGCAUGCUGGCCAGAUUCCAC